GGGGGUGGGGCGGCGGGGAGGGAGGGGAUAGGCCUGCCUGAGCUUGUCCCGCCAUCUCAGAUUUCAAGUAGAUCCCCUGGGCCUGGGUUGGCCGGUCCCCCUGAGCAGGCCCCCCAUGCUCCUGACGGCCUCAGCCCCCAACCAGAUGAGGUGGGCAGGGAGUCCUCCCUCUCAGGCCCGCACAGCACCUGCACAGGGGCUCCCAACUGACUGCCGAGUUGCACUGAGCCUGGCAAGGACUGCUAGCAGCUGAGAUGCCCGCUCCCUUGGCGCUCUGAGGGGGAUGCAGAAUCACCAGUGGGCUCCGCAGACUGAGAGCUGGGGGCAGGUGUCCAAGGACUAUGACUACGGCUGUUGUGCUGAGAAUCCUGCCAGUAGCUCAGGAGAGGGAUGGUUGUGGAUACACCAGGGUGAUAGCUGGCGCUGGGUAACGAUGUUGGAUUCUGGACACGCAUUCAAGGAUGGAGCUCUGCAACACCAAGGCAGCUGCGGGAGAACAGACCUUGUGGACGGCGGUUCACCAUGAGGAAGCUGAAAUGAGAUACUGGAUGUGAGGAGGGAAGGUUAGGAGAUAACUUUUGCCAUGACCAGCACAACCUUCAGGCACCCCCAACCUCAAAGUUUGACCCGAAGGGUCCAGAUGCCGGGGACAGCGCAGGAAGGGGUUAUGUUAAAGUUUUAGCAGGGACCCUUUUGUACCUGGUCCCUUUGGUUCCACCAAGAGGGAAGAGGAGGAAGGGGAAAAGGAAUCUCCACAGUAACUAUUUCCCCUCCCUCUCAAAAGCCUCAUAUUCUCCUGUCAGCUCUCGCAUGGAGAUCUGUCUUUCUAGAUGUUUGCCUGGAAUGUUCUUUCCCCUCUGAUCCAAGAGGGACAUUUCUGUGCAUUCUUGGAGACUGAGGCCCAGGAGCCUAGCUCCACGGCUGACAGAUCCUGUGGGACCCCCCAGAAGUGCUAUCUCCCUCUGUGAUAGGGCUCUGUAGUGACAAGUGUCACUCAGCCUCAGCCGCCACGCUGUGAUGUGACUGCUGCUGUUUCUUCCAUGCCCCCACCAGCUGACAGGUUCCAAGACAAGGCCUCUGUCUUCAUGAGGGCAGAAUGGAGCCUGAACCCUGUCUCAGCAGGUGCUUCCUGGCCAGUGGCAUUUAACCUCUCUGUCCCUCACCUGCUCACAGCUCUUCAGGUAGAACACCUACCCCCACAGAGGUGGUUGAGAAGUCAGUGAGGAAAUACAAGCAAAGCACUUGAAAUUUACUACACCAUAAGAACACAAAAAACAUGAGCUCUCAUUCUGCGUCUCUGUCCCCCUUGCGCCCACAACAUAGCGGCUUGAGUGAAAGAGUGAAUGAAUGAAGUAGGAGAUCUCCAAGGUCUGGAAUCAGCCUGCAAACGUUUUCCUUUAGGACUCCACAGAACAAUUAGAAUCUGUAAUGAUGUCUGAGGCGUCCAUCUUCACGGCAGCCACCCUGGGAAUAGCAGACCCCAACAGAGUACUCAAGGCCAUUUGCUUGAGUCCUGAUGUCGCUGGGGCAGAGGUUUCAGGAGGAGAAGCUACCAAAUAUUGUCAGCCUGACCUGCCCAGAGAAAGAACCGCUCAGAGCUCUGGAUGGGCCCCGCGGUCCCUGGACUCAGUCUCACCUCUGUACCGUUUUGGUCCUCACCCACGGCCCGGGCGGCUCUGACAGCUUCUGUGACCGCCCUGGAGGCAUUCAAGAGAUGGCAUGUGGAGAAGUUGCCCAGACUGUUUUCCAGACACUGGUAUUACAGGUUUGACAAGGGUGUGAAAAAUCACAGCCUGGAGGUCAAACGCGGACCUGAGGCCUGCCGAUGCCCAGAAGUGGAAGAUGGCUCAGAGAGUAUAACUCGUGCUAAUCCCUAGAGCAAAUCUGGCUUACCAGGAGCCGUGGGGACAGGCUAAAGGCUCAGAGCAACAAAGGUCAGUGCAAAUGGGGGUGCCUCUGGGGCCUGGAAACCUCCCAGUCCCCUUCCCCCUGAAAGCCUGGGUCUCCUUUGCAACUAGAAUAGGAGAUGAGGGAAUAGCGAGGGAGGAAAUAGCAGCAAAGCACUUGAGGUCUGGGCUGGGGUGGGUUGGGGGAAGCUCUAGUGGCUUCCCUCAGCUUCUCUUCCAGGAGGAGAAGUCAAGAAGAGGGGCAAGGGCCCGUGCCCGGGACCUCCCUCAUCCAGGAGGGCUCUUCUCAAGAGACCCAUGUGGUCCUCCCCCCUUCCUCCUGUCUCUGUCCCAAGGUCACCUCCUCAGGGAGGCCUUCCCCAACCACCUUAUCUAAACCCACUCCCUGCCAUUCCCUUCACUCCCUAUCCUUCUGUUCUGUUGUGGGUUUUGCCUUCUUUCUUGAUUUCUAGGUAUUAAUUCAGUGUUUAUUGUCACUCUCCCAUCACUCAAAUGUAGGCUCCAUGAGGGCAGAGGGUUUUGUGGGAUUUUGUCGUUGGUGCUUCACAGAUAUUUGCUGAGAAGACGAAUGAGUAGAAGGAAGGUAGUGGGGCUGCACUGGAUGGGUGAACUCGAGGCCUGGACAUCCCAGGAGACAGGCCCGCAGAAGUGGGAAUCCUCUUGCUAAAGCCAGUGGUUCAGACUGAAGGGGCCGAUGGGAAUCCAGAAGGGGCAAAGGACCAAGGCCUCAGCAUGCUGACAGAACGUCUCUUCUAACCUUCAACCUGAGCAUGCUGGGUGGAAGUCCUGUGGUCUGGUGGCCUGCACCCCAGGAGGUGCAAGCCAUGAGCAG
Molecule: long non-coding RNA, 2739 nt
Organism: Mustela erminea (ermine)
Lineage: Eukaryota; Metazoa; Chordata; Mammalia; Carnivora; Mustelidae
Exons: 4
Source: RefSeq, a predicted model, not a curated record